RNAcentral lists this ribosomal RNA (496 nucleotides) under uncultured bacterium. RNAcentral describes it as "partial 16S ribosomal RNA". It matches the Rfam family "Bacterial small subunit ribosomal RNA", at positions 28 to 506 of the family's 1533-position model. The record is from RNAcentral.
GAUGAACGCUGGCGGCGUGCCUAAUACAUGCAAGUCGAGCGAACGGACGAGAAGCUUGCUUCUCUGAUGUUAGCGGCGGACGGGUGAGUAACACGUGGAUAACCUACCUAUAAGACUGGGAUAACUUCGGGAAACCGGAGCUAAUACCGGAUGAUAUUUUGAACCGCAUGGUUCAAAGGUGAAAGACGGUCUUGCUGUCACUUAUAGAUGGACCCGCGCUGCAUUAGCUAGUUGGUAAGGUAACGGCUUACCAAGGCAACGAUGCAUAGCCGACCUGAGAGGGUGAUCGGCCACACUGGAACUGAGACACGGUCCAGACUCCUACGGGAGGCAGCAGUAGGGAAUCUUCCGCAAUGGGCGAAAGCCUGACGGAGCAACGCCGCGUGAGUGAUGAAGGUCUUCGGAUCGUAAAACUCUGUUAUUAGGGAAGAACAUAUGUGUAAGUAACUGUGCACAUCUUGACGGUACCUAAUCAGAAAGCCACGGCUAACUACGU